This 29-nucleotide non-coding RNA is filed under the name Rattus norvegicus (Norway rat). The record is from RNAcentral. Lineage: Eukaryota; Metazoa; Chordata; Mammalia; Rodentia; Muridae.
UCCAGGUUAUAGGUGGUGGAGCUCCAACU